UGAGCUGUCAGUUACCGAGAAGAACCAGCAGCAAAGGAACGACAAAGGCAUUGCAAAUAAUGCAGGACCAUUG
RNAcentral lists this transfer RNA (73 nucleotides) under Acinetobacter baumannii BJAB07104. RNAcentral describes it as "tRNA-Glu". The record is from RNAcentral. Lineage: Bacteria; Pseudomonadati; Pseudomonadota; Gammaproteobacteria; Moraxellales; Moraxellaceae.